UACGUAGGGGGCUAGCGUUGUUCGGAUUUACUGGGCGUAAAGCGCACGUAGGCGGUUCGAUCAGUCAGGGGUGAAAUCCCAGAGCUCAACUCUGGAACUGCCUUUGAUACUGUCGAUCUGGAGUAUGGAAGAGGUGAGUGGAAUUCCGAGUGUAGAGGUGAAAUUCGUAGAUAUUCGGAGGAACACCAGUGGGGAAGGCGGCUCACUGGGCCAUUACUGACGCUGAGGUGCGAAAGCGUGGGGAGCAAACAGG
This 253-nucleotide ribosomal RNA is filed under the name uncultured bacterium. RNAcentral's name for it is "partial 16S ribosomal RNA". It matches the Rfam family "Bacterial small subunit ribosomal RNA", at positions 524 to 776 of the family's 1533-position model. The record is from RNAcentral.